UGACUGCGUACCUUUUGUAUAAUGGGUCAGCGACUUAUAUUCUGUAGCAAGGUUAACCGAAUAGGGGAGCCGGAGGGAAACCGAGUCUUAACCGGGCGUUAAGUUGCAGGGUAUAGACCCGAAACCCGGUGAUCUAGCCAUGGGCAGGUUGAAGGUUGGGUAACACUAACUGGAGGACCGAACCGACUAAUGUUGAAAAAUUAGCGGAUGACCUGUGGCUGGGGGUGAAAGGCCAAUCAAACCGGGAGAUAGCUGGUUCUCCCCGAAAGCUAUUUAGGUAGCGCCUCGUGAACUCAUCUCCGGGGGUAGAGCACUGUUUCGGCUAGGGGGCCAUCCCGGCUUACCAACCCGAUGCAAACUGCGAAUACCGGAGAAUGUUAUCACGGGAGACACACGGCGGGUGCUAACGUCCGUCGUGAAGAGGGAAACAACCCAGACCGCCAGCUAAGGUCCCAAAGUCAUGGUUAAGUGGGAAACGAUGUGGGAAGGCCCAGACAGCCAGGAUGUUGGCUUAGAAGCAGCCAUCAUUUAAAGAAAGCGUAAUAGCUCACUGGUCGAGUCGGCCUGCGCGGAAGAUGUAACGGGGCUAAACCAUGCACCGAAGCUGCGGCAGCGACACUCAGGUGUUGUUGGGUAGGGGAGCGUUCUGUAAGCCUGCGAAGGUGGCCUGUGAGGGUUGCUGGAGGUAUCAGAAGUGCGAAUGCUGACAUAAGUAACGAUAAAGCGGGUGAAAAGCCCGCUCGCCGGAAGACCAAGGGUUCCUGUCCAACGUUAAUCGGGGCAGGGUGAGUCGACCCCUAAGGCGAGGCCGAAAGGCGUAGUCGAUGGGAAACGGGUUAAUAUUCCCGUACUUGGUGUUACUGCGAAGGGGGGACGGAGAAGGCUAUGUUGGCCGGGCGACGGUUGUCCCGGUUUAAGCGUGUAGGUGUGUGUUCCAGGUAAAUCCGGUUCACUUUAACACUGAGGCGUGACGACGAGGCACUACGGUGCUGAAGCAACAAAUGCCCUGCUUCCAGGAAAAGCCUCUAAGCAUCAGGUAACAUCAAAUCGUACCCCAAACCGACACAGGUGGUCAGGUAGAGAAUACCAAGGCGCUUGAGAGAACUCGGGUGAAGGAACUAGGCAAAAUGGUGCCGUAACUUCGGGAGAAGGCACGCUGACACGUAGGUGAAGUGAUUUACUCAUGGAGCUGAAGUCAGUCGAAGAUACCAGCUGGCUGCAACUGUUUAUUAAAAACACAGCACUGUGCAAACACGAAAGUGGACGUAUACGGUGUGACGCCUGCCCGGUGCCGGAAGGUUAAUUGAUGGGGUCAGCGCAAGCGAAGCUCCUGAUCGAAGCCCCGGUAAACGGCGGCCGUAACUAUAACGGUCCUAAGGUAGCGAAAUUCCUUGUCGGGUAAGUUCCGACCUGCACGAAUGGCGUAAUGAUGGCCAGGCUGUCUCCACCCGAGACUCAGUGAAAUUGAACUCGCUGUGAAGAUGCAGUGUACCCGCGGCAAGACGGAAAGACCCCGUGAACCUUUACUAUAGCUUGACACUGAACAUUGAGCCUUGAUGUGUAGGAUAGGUGGGAGGCUUUGAAGUGUGGACGCCAGUCUGCAUGGAGCCGGCCUUGAAAUACCACCCUUUAAUGUUUGAUGUUCUAACGUGGACCCGUGAUCCGGGUUGCGGACAGUGUCUGGUGGGUAGUUUGACUGGGGCGGUCUCCUCCUAAAGAGUAACGGAGGAGCACGAAGGUUGGCUAAUCCUGGUCGGACAUCAGGAGGUUAGUGCAAUGGCAUAAGCCAGCUUGACUGCGAGCGUGACGGCGCGAGCAGGUGCGAAAGCAGGUCAUAGUGAUCCGGUGGUUCUGAAUGGAAGGGCCAUCGCUCAACGGAUAAAAGGUACUCCGGGGAUAACAGGCUGAUACCGCCCAAGAGUUCAUAUCGACGGCGGUGUUUGGCACCUCGAUGUCGGCUCAUCACAUCCUGGGGCUGAAGUAGGUCCCAAGGGUAUGGCUGUUCGCCAUUUAAAGUGGUACGCGAGCUGGGUUUAGAACGUCGUGAGACAGUUCGGUCCCUAUCUGCCGUGGGCGCUGGAGAACUGAGGGGGGCUGCUCCUAGUACGAGAGGACCGGAGUGGACGCAUCACUGGUGUUCGGGUUGUCAUGCCAAUGGCACUGCCCGGUAGCUAAAUGCGGAAGAGAUAAGUGCUGAAAGCAUCUAAGCACGAAACUUGCCCCGAGAUGAGUUCU
This 2235-nucleotide ribosomal RNA is filed under the name Salmonella enterica. RNAcentral describes it as "bacterial LSU rRNA". It matches the Rfam family "Bacterial large subunit ribosomal RNA", at positions 594 to 2812 of the family's 2925-position model. The record is from RNAcentral. Lineage: Bacteria; Pseudomonadati; Pseudomonadota; Gammaproteobacteria; Enterobacterales; Enterobacteriaceae.